AAAACAACGCUCCUUCGUUGUUAAAGUUGAUUGGGGACUAUGAUCCUAUAUUUUUGGUGUUUAUUUUGGAUGGUCCGGAGUUUUUGGCUGCAACUAUGUUGGACAGAGAUAUGCUUGCUAUUGCUGUAAAUUGGUACCAUGUCGGUUGGUUUUGCUUGGUAAGAUUUGUGACGAUGCAUCGGACAAACAACAUUGGGAAAAUAUACAGCCUUGAGCCUUGAUGACCAAAGUAUAUCUCUAUUUGAGAAAUUCUCCAAAGAUCCAGAGCCGAUUGUUUCAUAGAGCUGUGAAGUUGCGUUAAACAUACUGGAUUUUGAACGAUCCGACAAACCAUUCGAGGUACUUGGAAGAUUAAGUCUCUUAUCUGGGUGGUUGUUACAGGUUUAGGAUGUUAAAUGAUUUUGGAUGUACUCUGCGAUGUCGAUGAUGCAGAGAUGUUGGUGAAGCUCAGGUUCGAACAACUUCAUGUGUAUAUUUUAUUAUAAAAAAAUAAAAGUUUUUUUUUUAUUUCAUGGGCCGUUCAGAGAGGCAAGUUUCUGCCUCCGGUUCUUGCCCGAAGUUUCUGACCUUACUCGCAACCCAUUGACUACAACUUUCAAUUCAAAACAAUUAUAAAAAAAUUACGUUUGAAAACA
Long non-coding RNA from Helianthus annuus (common sunflower), 635 nucleotides. RefSeq lists it as uncharacterized. The record is from RefSeq and is a predicted model, not a curated record. The transcript has 5 exons. Lineage: Eukaryota; Viridiplantae; Streptophyta; Magnoliopsida; Asterales; Asteraceae.